RNAcentral lists this long non-coding RNA (749 nucleotides) under Parus major (Great Tit). Its description in RNAcentral is "lncRNA (ENSPMJG00000010857.1)". The record is from RNAcentral. Lineage: Eukaryota; Metazoa; Chordata; Aves; Passeriformes; Paridae.
UCUAUUUCAAUUUCCAUCUGUUAGUUGAAUGGGGACUGAACCUGAAUCCAUUAAAUAUAAAUUAACUAAAGUCUGUCUUCAACCUAAAUAAACCAAAACCUGAACUCUUUCCUCCCUUAUUUAUAAUCCCAGACUCUGGAUAAUCUGACUCAAGACAUCCUGGUAUUUAUUGCUCUCCAGUGGAAACUUUGCAUCCUUUGCUUUGGUAGAGUGUGUUGUUUUGUGCAGCUGUUCAGAGCAUGUAAAAAUAGCCACCAUGCCGCGUUGUGCUGUACAUCACUUCUGUCGCGUCGCUGUAAUGGGCUGAUCAAAGCACCAACUGGUGGGGAGGUAAAACUCAUGGAGUACCUGCUCUUCCUGCUGUCACUGAUGGUCUGUCAAGCCUCUAUUAGCUUUUCAAGGCAACCCAUCAAUGUUUAGCUAGUUUUUACAUGGAUUUGUCCUCAAAAUUCCACCUGAGUUUGAAAACAAUUGUGAUGCCUCACACACAGAGAGCAGCUGAUUUCUGCCUUUUAAAAAGCAGACCCUGUAAUAUGUGAGUAAUUUUCAGAGACUGCAUGGAGUUAAAGUGGUCUUUGGAAAGCCAUCUGGAGGGGAAAAAGUGUCACAAUACUGCAGAAUGCUAGAAACUGAUCAGCCACUUGCAAGCUGCUGUAUCCAAGGUUUCUUAUACCUGAUUGUUGUAGUGGGCUUCUGGGAAAGUUUGUUUUGGUAGCAUCAAUGUACUUUAUAAUAAAGGCAGGCCGUAG